Molecule: ribosomal RNA, 549 nt
Filed under: uncultured Glomeromycotina
Lineage: Eukaryota; Fungi; Glomeromycota
Description: SSU rRNA
Rfam family: Eukaryotic small subunit ribosomal RNA
Source: RNAcentral
UUGGAGGGCAAGUCUGGUGCCAGCAGCCGCGGUAAUUCCAGCUCCAAUAGCGUAUAUUAAAGUUGUUGCAGUUAAAAAGCUCGUAGUUGAAUUUCGGGGUUAGUAGGUUGGUCAUGCCUCUGGUAUGUACUGGUCUCACUGAUUCCUCCUUCCUGAUGAAUCUUAAUGCCAUUAAUUUGGUGUUUUGGGGAAUUUGGACUGUUACUUUGAAAAAAUUAGAGUGUUUAAAGCAAGCUAACGCUUGAAUACAUUAGCAUGGAAUAAUGAAAUAGGACGUUCGAUCCUAUUUUGUUGGUUUCUAGGAUUGACGUAAUGAUUAAUAGGGACAGUUGGGGGCAUUAGUAUUCAAUUGUCAGAGUUGAAAUUCUUGGAUUUAUUGAAGACUAACUACUGCGAAAGCAUUUGCCAAGGAUGUUUUCAUUAAUCAAGAACGAAAGUUAGGGGAUCGAAGACGAUCAGAUACCGUCGUAGUCUUAACCAUAAACUAUGCCGACUAGGGAUCGGAUGAUGUUAAUUUUUUAAUGACUCAUUCGGCGCCUUACGGGAAAC